Molecule: ribosomal RNA, 274 nt
Filed under: uncultured bacterium
Lineage: Bacteria
Description: partial 16S ribosomal RNA
Rfam family: Bacterial small subunit ribosomal RNA
Source: RNAcentral
AUACGGAGGGUGCAAGCGUUGUUCGGAUUUAUUGGGCGUAAAGCGAGUGUAGGCGGUUUGACAAGUUGAAUGUGAAAUCCCGAGGCCCAACCUCGGAACUGCAUCCGAAACUGUCAGGCUAGAGUCCCGGAGAGGAUGGCGGAAUUCCCGGUGUAGGGGUGAAAUCCGUAGAUAUCGGGAGGAACACCAGUGGCGAAGGCGGCCAUCUGGACGGUGACUGACGCUGAGACUCGAAAGUGUGGGUAGCAAACAGGAUUAGAAACCCUAGUAGUCC